This is a non-coding RNA of Vicia faba (fava bean), 291 nucleotides long. The record is from the annotation of a GenBank genome assembly. Lineage: Eukaryota; Viridiplantae; Streptophyta; Magnoliopsida; Fabales; Fabaceae.
AUGCUGCAGCAAUACAUGAACCAAUUCAGACCAUGCACCAUGUGUUCCCAAUGCCAUGUACUGAUUCAUGUACAUCAACAAACCUGCAACAACCAGACCUGUCACCUGCAUCAUGAAAGGGCCUGCACAACGGGUUUAAACAUGUUAAGCACAUCUACAAAAUCAGUACUAGUCAUCACCAUAUCAACUAAAAGGAGCAAAAGCAAAUUAUAUCAUAUCAGCAAAAACAAAACAAUGCAACAGCUCAAAUGCGGUCAAACACCAGUACAAAUUCAAUACAUUAUGUUCUAA